CCCGCCCCCGCCGCCGCUCCCCUCGCCGCCGCCGACAACCAGCAGCACGGCUGAAGCAUGCCGGCCUGCAUUUGUGGAAUAAAUUUAUAUAUUAUUAUAUAUACACUCAUCGUGACGUGCACUUUCCAUUCCUGGCUCAUAGUUUAUGCACGUCGUUAAUGAAUAAUGUGUUUGCCACUAUAUAUGUUAUUUUGUAUUGUACUCCUGGUAUAUGUUACCAUGACUUAUUACCAUCUAUAUUAAUAUUCCUCAGUGUUCUCUAAGUUAAUCUUUUCUUCAGGACAUCUCCCCCCUCUCUAUCUCUACACACACUAUAUUUAUUAAUACAUCAUAACAU
RNAcentral lists this long non-coding RNA (337 nucleotides) under Oryza brachyantha (malo sina). RNAcentral's name for it is "long non-coding RNA (OBRA_LNC003413)". Lineage: Eukaryota; Viridiplantae; Streptophyta; Magnoliopsida; Poales; Poaceae. The record is from RNAcentral.